RNAcentral lists this long non-coding RNA (169 nucleotides) under Rhinopithecus bieti (black snub-nosed monkey). RNAcentral describes it as "lncRNA (ENSRBIG00000046261.1)". The record is from RNAcentral. Lineage: Eukaryota; Metazoa; Chordata; Mammalia; Primates; Cercopithecidae.
UUUGAAGAUUGUUUAUCCAGAGCAUGAAGGACUGACCAGCUCCAGAUUGUAUUUUCAGAGAGUAUGAUCAUUAGCUCUGCUAAGUCCUGCUUCUCAAGUUCUUUCCUUCAGUGAGUGAGAACAUAUAUUGUCUUCUUAUCCAGGUAAGAGACAGAAACCUCCUAGACAC